Molecule: ribosomal RNA, 253 nt
Filed under: uncultured bacterium
Lineage: Bacteria
Description: partial 16S ribosomal RNA
Rfam family: Bacterial small subunit ribosomal RNA
Source: RNAcentral
UACGAAGGGUGCAAGCGUUACUCGGAAUUACUGGGCGUAAAGCGUGCGCAGGCGGGCUUGUAAGCCAGACGUGAAAUCCCCGGGCUUAACCUGGGAAUGGCGUUUGGGACUGGGAGUCUGGAGUGCGGCAGAGGAGACUGGAAUUCCUGGUGUAGCAGUGAAAUGCGUAGAUAUCAGGUGGAACACCGAUGGCGAAGGCAGGUCUCUGGGCUGACACUGACGCUCAUGCACGAAAGCGUGGGGAGCAAACAGG